GCUGAGCAUAUUCUCAGCUCUGUUUUAAAUUUUAUUUCCAGAUGGGGUUUGCUCAAUUUCUUCAGUUGGCCUUAAAUUUUGAACUUCAUGCCUUAGACUCCAGAAUAGUAGAUAUUUCAGGUGUGCACCACCAUAUGAACCCUAUCUUUUGUAUGUAAACGUUUGAGCUUUCUACUUUCUUAUUUAUUUCAGUAUUAUUUAUUAAUAAAUUAUAUUCAGAAUUUAAUAUGUCAAAAUAUGUUGUUAUGUUCUAUGAGUGAAGGGAUAAAAUACCAGUUUAUUAUCACACUCUUUUCCCAAUAUCCUAGCAUGUUUUAAGAGUUUUGUUGUUGGUGUUUUCUGUAGUUCCACCAUUUAUUUUAUUAUGAGGAUUACCCUGGUUGAUUUUACUUCAUAACAUGAAUCAUGUGGCAUCAUGGUAUUUUGGUCAGCUGUAGACUUUAUGUACAACCAUGGAUCUAGCAAAUAUCUUAGCCAUGUACUAGUCUAUACCAUCUAGAUUCUGUCAUUGCACUCAGAGAAUUGGAAAAUUGCAGAAGAUUCUUAGGAUAAAUUUUCCAGAGUGUAUUUCCAUAAAGUGAGAAAUCGUUAUAUAUGCCUAUGUUUGCAAUUAUAUACUGUAUAAUUGAUAUAAUUUUUGUUUGUUGAAUUUUCAAAUUUGCUAGUGCUUUUUAAAUUGUAUCUGCUUUUUUUAUUUGUACGGAAGAUUGAACCCAUUGGUGCUUAACAAUAAAGUCACAUCCUCAGUCCUUUUUUAUAUUUUAUUUAGAGACAGAGUAUUGCUGAGUUGCUAAGUGCUUCACUAAGUUGCUCAAUACAAUAUAUAUGACAAUAUUAUAUAUAAUAUUGUCUUAGAAUUUAUGAUCCUUUUUUCUUAUCCUCCUCAGUCACUGGAACUAGGGUUGUCCAUCACUUGAAUGGGUGCAUUUGCUUUUUAAAAGCACCAACAUUGAUACUGGUAACUCUGUGUUAUGUUUAUCUUUAAUAGCUUCUAAUUUUGCUUUUUAUUGGGAUGGAUGAUUUGAUAAUAAAUUCUAGUCAUUUUAUGGCUUACUAAAUUUUUUGUAUGUUUUAUUUUCACCUCAGUUAUAGAUGAAUUCCAAUUUUUUCCAGCUGUAUGGAGGUCUAAGUGAAACAUAAUAAUCUAUAUGGAUAAUGUUAAAGAAAUGGAACCACAAUUUUACCCAGUUUUUUGACUGCACUGUAUAUGCCCAAAAAACAUAAAAUCAGCAUACUACAUUGACACAGCCACAUUAAUGUUUAUAGCAGCACAAUUCACAAUAGCUAAGCUAUAAAACCAACCAUUCAAUGAUGAAUGGGUCCAUUCAAUGAUGACAGGAUAAAAAACUGUUGCUUAUGUACACAAUAAACUAUGAAUUGACCAUAAAGAAUGACUUUAUGACAUUUGCCAGGAAAUGGAUGAAUCUGGGAUUUUAUGCUAAGUAAAACAAACCAUUUUUUUAAAACCAAAAGUUGAAAGUUAUUGCUGAUAUGUGAAAUCUAAAGCUCAUAAAAUAGGGAAGGGUAAGAAAAGAAGAUCAGUAGAUUGCACAAUGUUAAACAAAAAAUAAAUAAAUGAAUGAAUAAAUAAAUAAAAGGGACAAAGAUAGAAAUAUAAAAGAUAUAAAUCUGUAAGUUAAUCCUAACAUCGUAGCCACCAACAAGAACAGGAUUUUAAUUAGGAUAAGAUAUAUCCCAUGCUUGCAUAAUACCAUAAAAAUUGAUUUUUACUGUCAGUUAGAACUAGAAAGAAC
Molecule: long non-coding RNA, 1754 nt
Filed under: Marmota monax (woodchuck)
Lineage: Eukaryota; Metazoa; Chordata; Mammalia; Rodentia; Sciuridae
Source: RNAcentral